GAUGAACGCUGGCGGCGUGCCUAAUACAUGCAAGUCGAGCGAACAGACGAGGAGCUUGCUCCUCUGACGUUAGCGGCGGACGGGUGAGUAACACGUGGAUAACCUACCUAUAAGACUGGGAUAACUUCGGGAAACCGGAGCUAAUACCGGAUAAUAUAUUGAACCGCAUGGUUCAAUAGUGAAAGACGGUUUUGCUGUCACUUAUAGAUGGAUCCGCGCCGCAUUAGCUAGUUGGUAAGGUAACGGCUUACCAAGGCGACGAUGCGUAGCCGACCUGAGAGGGUGAUCGGCCACACUGGAACUGAGACACGGUCCAGACUCCUACGGGAGGCAGCAGUAGGGAACCUUCCGCAAUGGGCGAAAGCUUGACGGAGCAACGCCGCGUGAGUGAUGAAGGUCUUCGGAUCGUAAAACUCUGUUAUUAGGGAAGAACAAAUGUGUAAGUAACUAUGCACGUCUUGACGGUACCUAAUCAGAAAGCCACGGCUAACUACGUG
RNAcentral lists this ribosomal RNA (497 nucleotides) under uncultured bacterium. RNAcentral describes it as "partial 16S ribosomal RNA". It matches the Rfam family "Bacterial small subunit ribosomal RNA", at positions 28 to 507 of the family's 1533-position model. The record is from RNAcentral.